Molecule: small RNA, 544 nt
Filed under: Pongo abelii (Sumatran orangutan)
Lineage: Eukaryota; Metazoa; Chordata; Mammalia; Primates; Hominidae
Description: retained intron
Source: RNAcentral
CUUGCGGUGGCGAUGGCUGCGGCCGUGGCGGGGAUGCUGCGAGGGGGUCUCCUGCCCCAGGCGGGCCGGCUGCCUACCCUCCAGACUGUCCGCUAUGGCUCCAAGGCUGUUACCCGCCACCGUCGUGUGAUGCACUUUCAGCGGCAGAAGCUGAUGGCUGUGACUGAAUAUAUCCCCCCAAAACCAGCCAUCCACCCAUCAUGCCUGCCAUCUCCUCCCAGCCCCCCACAGGAGGAGACAGGCCUCAUCAGGCUUCUCCGCCGGGAGAUAGCAGCAGUUUUCCAGGACAACCGAAUGGUAGCCGUCUGCCAGAAUGUGGCUCUCAGUGCAGAGGACAAGCUUCUUAUGCGACACCAGCUGCGGAAACACAAGAUCCUGAUGAAGGUCUUCCCCAACCAGGUAGGGAGCAGGCCCCUUGGCAUGGGUUGCCCAUCUUCCCCCCACCCCCACCAGACUCAUACCUCACCAUCUGCUCCCCAGUGAUGAUACUUCUUACUCCUCCUCUCCAUGAGUCACCCUCUAAUCUGGUGUCUAACCUAUGAUU